GAUGAACGCUGGCGGCGUGCCUAAUACAUGCAAGUCGAGCGAACGGACGAGAAGCUUGCUUCUCUGAUGUUAGCGGCGGACGGGUGAGUAACACGUGGAUAACCUACCUAUAAGACUGGGAUAACUUCGGGAAACCGUAGCUAAUACCGGAUAAUAUUUUGAACCGCAUGGUUCAAUAGUGAAAGACGGUCUUGCUGUCACUUAUAGAUGGAUCCGCGCUGCAUUAGCUAGUUGGUAAGGUAACGGCUUACCAAGGCAACGAUGCAUAGCCGACCUGAGAGGGUGAUCGGCCACACUGGAACUGAGACACGGUCCAGACUCCUACGGGAGGCAGCAGUAGGGAAUCUUCCGCAAAGGGCGAAAGCCUGACGGAGCAACGCCGCGUGAGUGAUGAAGGUCUUCGGAUCGUAAAACUCUGUUAUUAGGGAAGAACAUAUGUGUAAGUAACUGUGCACAUCUUGACGGUACCUAAUCAGAAAGCCACGGCUAACUACGUG
Molecule: ribosomal RNA, 497 nt
Filed under: uncultured bacterium
Lineage: Bacteria
Description: partial 16S ribosomal RNA
Rfam family: Bacterial small subunit ribosomal RNA
Source: RNAcentral